Molecule: long non-coding RNA, 797 nt
Organism: Rosa chinensis
Lineage: Eukaryota; Viridiplantae; Streptophyta; Magnoliopsida; Rosales; Rosaceae
Exons: 2
Source: RefSeq, a predicted model, not a curated record
UCCAUUAACCAUUAGUAUUGAGACUUCUACUCUUUUUUUUUCUUUCGGUGGUGGAAAUCAAAUCACCGAGUCUCAGGAUAUUAUAUAUGGCUCAACACAACAUUCUUGAGGGCAAUCAUGUUCACAAUGCCCCACAAUCAUUAGUUUCCUUAACGGGCUUGCUUGCCGCAAGGUCAAGGAUUGGCGAACAUCAACAGGCAGCGGCAGACCACGAACAAACUCGAGUACAACUAGAGGAACAAAGGCAUAUACUCCUAGCUAAUAGAGCAGCUAUCAAUAACCAACUCUUACCUCUGCGAACGCAACGUGAUUUUCACGCAGGUCGCGUUGACCACUACAACCACCGAGUUCAGCAAUCUGAUCAACAAAUAGCCGAGUUGAAUGGUAGAGUACAAGACCUUGCGGCCCUUCGUGAUGGAGCCUUGGAACGAGUGGAGGUGUAUGGGCAUGGUUUAGCAACUCUUCCCGUAAUUACAGUGGCAACACUAAAGCAAAUGGUGGUUAUUGUGAAUGAAAUCCGACCAUUAGGCUUUGGUGGUCAGAUUAGGAUCCAUGACACCCCCAUGACCUCUGAGCUUGAAAGGCAAGAAAUCCGUGAUUUAUGUGCCCAAUUUAAUAUUAUAGUUCAAAACUAGUUAUUUAUGAGAUGAUUGUAGUUGGAAUUUUAAGUUUCAGUGGCGACUUUAGAUAGUUCCAAUGCUAGUUGAUGUUUGAUUUAAAAGUCGAUUGCUUAUUGUAAUUUAUGUCGCUACUUGAUCACAAUUGCAUUGCAUACUCUGCAAUGGUGCUUCUUUCAA